This 401-nucleotide ribosomal RNA is filed under the name Escherichia coli. RNAcentral's name for it is "partial 23S ribosomal RNA". It matches the Rfam family "Bacterial large subunit ribosomal RNA", at positions 2259 to 2659 of the family's 2925-position model. Lineage: Bacteria; Pseudomonadati; Pseudomonadota; Gammaproteobacteria; Enterobacterales; Enterobacteriaceae. The record is from RNAcentral. RNAcentral also lists the same sequence under 2 other names.
UGGUGGGUAGUUUGACUGGGGCGGUCUCCUCCUAAAGAGUAACGGAGGAGCACGAAGGUUGGCUAAUCCUGGUCGGACAUCAGGAGGUUAGUGCAAUGGCAUAAGCCAGCUUGACUGCGAGCGUGACGGCGCGAGCAGGUGCGAAAGCAGGUCAUAGUGAUCCGGUGGUUCUGAAUGGAAGGGCCAUCGCUCAACGGAUAAAAGGUACUCCGGGGAUAACAGGCUGAUACCGCCCAAGAGUUCAUAUCGACGGCGGUGUUUGGCACCUCGAUGUCGGCUCAUCACAUCCUGGGGCUGAAGUAGGUCCCAAGGGUAUGGCUGUUCGCCAUUUAAAGUGGUACGCGAGCUGGGUUUAGAACGUCGUGAGACAGUUCGGUCCCUAUCUGCCGUGGGCGCUGGAG